RNAcentral lists this ribosomal RNA (515 nucleotides) under uncultured bacterium. RNAcentral describes it as "partial 16S ribosomal RNA". It matches the Rfam family "Bacterial small subunit ribosomal RNA", at positions 28 to 523 of the family's 1533-position model. The record is from RNAcentral.
GAUGAACGCGGGCGGCGUGCCUAAUACAUGCAAGUCGAGCGAAUGGAUUAAGAGCUUGCUCUUAUGAAGUUAGCGGCGGACGGGUGAGUAACACGUGGGUAACCUGCCCAUAAGACUGGGAUAACUCCGGGAAACCGGGGCUAAUACCGGAUAACAUUUUGAACCGCAUGGUUCGAAAUUGAAAGGCGGCUUCGGCUGUCACUUAUGGAUGGACCCGCGUCGCAUUAGCUAGUUGGUGAGGUAACGGCUCACCAAGGCAACGAUGCGUAGCCGACCUGAGAGGGUGAUCGGCCACAAGGGGACUGGGACACGGCCCAGACUCCUACGGGAGGCAGCAGUGGGGAAUCUUCCGCAAUGGACGAAAGUCUGACGGAGCAACGCCGCGUGAGUGAUGAAGGCUUUCGGGUCGUAAAACUCUGUUGUUAGGGAAGAACAAGUGCUAGUUGAAUAAGCUGGCACCUUGACGGUACCUAACCAGAAAGCCACGGCUAACUACGUGCCAGCAGCCGCGGUAA